Molecule: long non-coding RNA, 2007 nt
Filed under: Trifolium pratense (red clover)
Lineage: Eukaryota; Viridiplantae; Streptophyta; Magnoliopsida; Fabales; Fabaceae
Description: long non-coding RNA (TPRA_LNC001373)
Source: RNAcentral
AGAGAAAGAGCUCAUGGGAGAGUGAAAAGAAGCAAAUGAAAGAAAAACUUAAUCUCAAUUUAGGGAGUUCACUGCAAUCCAAGUAAGGGAGCUUUAUACUCUUGAAACUCUGAAUUCAAUAGGAAUAUUUGUUGUAUUUAUUAUACUAUGCCGUUAUGUGAUGUUGUUGUUGUAGUUUGAUGAUUGAAUAUUUUCCUUGCAUUAUUCCUAUUGUUGUUAUUGUUACUUACGCUUGAAUUUAAUUUUAUACAAAUUGUGUUGUUGAAACUGUGUGGAAUCAUCACUGAAAUUAGUGUCCUUAUUGUUGGAGAGUUUAGACGAACCUUGAGUUCAUAAAUGAGGAUGAGAUUAAGAAUUUGGAUAUAACCACCAGUUAAGAAAAGAAAAAAAAAAGAGAACAAAUGAAUUAUGUUUUGAAUCUAAUAAACCAUAAGAGAUGUUUUUGUUAUGUUAUAAGAAUCCUAAUCAGUUUUAAAACGAUUCUGGGAUGAUUUCAAGUCGCGAAACUAUUUGAUCUGAAAGCUUUGGGGUGAUUUUAAUGGUGGUGUUGUUGAAUUUCAAAGAGAACUUUAGUCUCAUUUUUAUAUGCGAUUCGAAUGACGAUUUUAAAAACUAACAUCGGGCAUCUUUCUAUAAUUGAAUGACGGUCAAAACGAUAUAAAACACGUCGAAUUCUGUUGAGAAAUGAGGGAGAACCUACUGGGUCAAAUCGCGGGUCGUCGCGACCCGUUUUCCUGCAACCGGGUGAAGGGGUGAUGAACAGUGCUCGAGUGGCCUCGCCCACUCGCAGCACCGGCGCGAGAGGGCGCGUGAGAGGUCAGGGAGGAUCCGUUUUUAAAAAUUGUUUUUAAAAACAAAUAGUAAAUAAUUUUCUUGAAAUUUUGGAACCGGUUUGAGAAUUUUCGGAGACCUGGAACUAUUUUUAGUUAAUUAAAUGAGGUAAAUAUGCUAUUAAAAAUAUUAGAAUUUAAUAAAAGAUUCCCAGAAUUUUAUUUAAGGUAUUUUUAAUAAUUUGGAACAAUUUGGGAUACCUCACUCUCUCUGGUUGUAUAUAAUCUUAAGGAUUUGAAUUUAUUUCACAAUUGUUAUUAAUUAAAUUGAUUUAAAAUUCAUACGUUUUGUGGAUAAACUAAACCGAGUUAAAUUGGGUUAAAGGUGCUGUUAAAGACGAGUAAUAAGUUGUUGUCAUGAGAGGAGUGAAUGACUAAUUGGGUUAUUAUAUUUUAGUUGGCGUUGUAAUCGAAGUUGCUAAUAAUUGUUGUGUAUCGGUGUUGUUUUAAGUCGUUGCUCGUUGAUAGUAAUUGUGUUGUUUCAAUUGUUGUUUUGUUGAAUAAUGAUGUUGAGCUACAUGGUUAUAACGAUGUUGAAUUAUCUAUUUUAAUGAUGUUGGAGUUGUGCCGAAAUUAUGAUGUUGUAAUUGUUAUUAUUGUAGUUUCUNNNNNNNNNNNNNNNNNNNNNNNNNNNNNNNNNNNNNNNNNNNNNNNNNNNNNNNNNNNNNNNNNNNNNNNNNNNNNNNNNNNNNNNNNNNNNNNNNUAAUGAAAUUGAAAAUAAUGACGUUGAUCCUCUAUGAUAUAAAACUAGAAAUGACGUUGCUAUUGGUACCACAUGCAUGUAGCAAGUCUAGGCGCAUUGGAUGCAUUUUAAUUAUAUUUCUUUAUUUAAAUGUUGUUGUUAUUUCUCUUUAUUUAAUUAACGAUUGAUGAUUGUGUUUGACUGAUGAAUGUGCGCGGCCAUCCGCUUAGGUGGUCUUGUUGUUGUUUAUGAUGUUGUUAGUUAUUGAGUUGUUUUAAUUCAGUUACUUUUUUGAUGUAUUUUGACUCACCUUUACAUUCCCCCUUCUGGCUUGGCCCUACGGUGUGCAACCGUAGAUUUUCAAGUAGGAGACGAAUCAUAGAUGAUGUGUUCGGAUAGCUGUUGCUUUGCUAUUUAUUUGGAGUCGCUCUGUUAGGAUGUUGUUGGGAGAAACUUUUAUUUAAUCAUGUUGUUAAAGUUUUAUAACAAUUGAG